This 649-nucleotide ribosomal RNA is filed under the name Mycolicibacterium pallens. RNAcentral describes it as "bacterial SSU rRNA". It matches the Rfam family "Bacterial small subunit ribosomal RNA", at positions 226 to 885 of the family's 1533-position model. The record is from RNAcentral. Lineage: Bacteria; Bacillati; Actinomycetota; Actinomycetes; Mycobacteriales; Mycobacteriaceae.
GUAGGACGCGGCCUAUCAGCUUGUUGGUGGGGUAAUGGCCUACCAAGGCGACGACGGGUAGCCGGCCUGAGAGGGUGUCCGGCCACACUGGGACUGAGAUACGGCCCGGACUCCUACGGGAGGCAGCAGUGGGGAAUAUUGCACAAUGGGCGCAAGCCUGAUGCAGCGACGCCGCGUGGGGGAUGACGGCCUUCGGGUUGUAAACCUCUCUCAGUAGGGACGAAGCGCAAGUGACGGUACCUACAGAAGAAGCACCGGCCAACUACGUGCCAGCAGCCGCGGUAAUACGUAGGGUGCGAGCGUUGUCCGGAAUUACUGGGCGUAAAGAGCUCGUAGGUGGUUUGUCGCGUUGUCCGUGAAAUCCCACAACUCAAUUGUGGGCGUGCGGGCGAUACGGGCAGACUGGAGUACUGCAGGGGAGACUGGAAUUCCUGGUGUAGCGGUGGAAUGCGCAGAUAUCAGGAGGAACACCGGUGGCGAAGGCGGGUCUCUGGGCAGUAACUGACGCUGAGGAGCGAAAGCGUGGGGAGCGAACAGGAUUAGAUACCCUGGUAGUCCACGCCGUAAACGGUGGGUACUAGGUGUGGGUUUCCUUCCUUGGGAUCCGUGCCGUAGCUAACGCAUUAAGUACCCCGCCUGGGGAGUACGG